This 780-nucleotide ribosomal RNA is filed under the name uncultured Neocallimastigales. Its description in RNAcentral is "partial large subunit ribosomal RNA". It matches the Rfam family "Eukaryotic large subunit ribosomal RNA", at positions 26 to 618 of the family's 3401-position model. The record is from RNAcentral. Lineage: Eukaryota; Fungi; Neocallimastigomycota; Neocallimastigomycetes; Neocallimastigales.
CGUCUAUAUACGUAUAGCAUAUCAAUAAGCGGAGGAAAAGAAACUAACUAGGAUUCCCUUAGUAACGGCGAGUGAAGCGGGAAGAGCUCAAAUUUGAAAUCUUCAAGGUUUUACCUUGACGAAUUGUAGUUUAAAGAAGUGUUUUCUGUUAGAGUUUGAGUAGAAAAGUUCUUUGGAAUAGGGACAUCAUAGAGGGUGAGAAUCCCGUAUUUGGUACCAUUAUUUCUAGCUGUGUGAUACACUUUCAAAGAGUCGGAUUGUUUGGGAAUGCAGUCCAAAAUGGGUGGUAAAUUUCAUCUAAAGCUAAAUAUUGGCGAGAGACCGAUAGCGAACAAGUACCGUGAGGGAAAGAUGAAAAGAACUUUGAAAAGAGAGUUAAACAGUACGUGAAAUUGUCAAAAGGGAAGCGUUUGACACCAGUGUUGUUUUUCCGAAAAUCAAUUAAGAGUGGCUUGAUUUUGUGUUGUAUUGACCUUAUCAGCUUUCUUCACUCUUUUUCGAGUCUUUCUUAAUGCACUUUUCGGUUAACAAGUCAACAUCAAUUUCUUUUGUUGUAAAAGGGUAUUUGGAAGGUGGCUUUCUUUUCGGAGAAAGUGUUUAUAGCCUUAUACCUCUACAAUCGGAGAGAUUGAGGUCUGCAGCGUAGAUCCUUCGGGGCUAGAUACACUUGUGCUAAGUUAUAGCUUUUCAUAGACAACUUGUUGACUAUGUUUAGUCAUGUAGCUUACCCGCUUGUGCUAUUUUACCUACGCUUAGGAUGUUGAGUCAUCACACAUCUCU